GAUGAACGCUGGCGGCGUGCCUAAUACAUGCAAGUCGAGCGAACGGACGAGAAGCUUGCUUCUCUGAUGUUAGCGGCGGACGGGUGAGUAACACGUGGAUAACCUACCUAUAAGACUGGGAUAACUUCGGGAAACCGGAGCUAAUACCGGAUGAUAUUUUGAACCGCAUUGUUCAAAAGUGAAAGAUGGUCUUGCUGUCACUUAUAGAUGGUUCCGCGCUGCAUUAGCUAGUUGGUAAGGUAACGGCUUACCAAGGCAACGAUGCAUAGCCGACCUGAGAGGGGGAUCGGCGACACUGGAACUGAGACACGGUCCAGACUCCUACGGGAGGCAGCAGUAGGGAAUCUUCCGCAAUGGGCGAAAGCCUGACGGAGCAACGCCGCGUGAGUGAUGAAGGUCUUCGGAUCGUAAAACUCUGUUAUUAGGGAAGAACAUAUGUGGAAGUAACUGUGCACAUCUUGACGGUACCUAAUCAGAAAGCCACGGCUAACUACGUG
This 497-nucleotide ribosomal RNA is filed under the name uncultured bacterium. RNAcentral's name for it is "partial 16S ribosomal RNA". It matches the Rfam family "Bacterial small subunit ribosomal RNA", at positions 28 to 507 of the family's 1533-position model. The record is from RNAcentral.